Molecule: long non-coding RNA, 243 nt
Organism: Hibiscus syriacus
Lineage: Eukaryota; Viridiplantae; Streptophyta; Magnoliopsida; Malvales; Malvaceae
Exons: 4
Source: RefSeq, a predicted model, not a curated record
UCGAGAAAAAUUUCCCAAAAAAGUUUCUUUCUCCCAAAACUGGCUCCAAAUGAUCAAGAAUCAGCUGUUAGAGAAAUCAAAUCAAAAAGCAGAAGAAUCAUGGGAAGAGGUGGUCCAAAUUAUGAUGAUGAUGAGGAAGUGAAAUGGACAUCAUGGUUGAGACCACUGCUUCAGACAAGCUUUUUCGUUCAAUGCAAACUCCAUGCUGAUGCUUAUAAGAGUGAAUACAAUAUGUAUUGCAUG